Molecule: ribosomal RNA, 1346 nt
Filed under: uncultured bacterium
Lineage: Bacteria
Description: partial 16S ribosomal RNA
Rfam family: Bacterial small subunit ribosomal RNA
Source: RNAcentral
GACGAACGCUGGCGGCGUGCUUAACACAUGCAAGUCGAACGGAAAGGCCCUGCUUUUGUGGGGUGCUCGAGUGGCGAACGGGUGAGUAACACGUGAGUAACCUGCCCUUGACUUUGGGAUAACUUCAGGAAACUGGGGCUAAUACCGGAUAGGAGCUCCUGCAGCAUGGUGGGGGUUGGAAAGUUUCGGCGGUUGGGGAUGGACUCGCGGCUUAUCAGCUUGUUGGUGGGGUAGUGGCUUACCAAGGCUUUGACGGGUAGCCGGCCUGAGAGGGUGACCGGCCACAUUGGGACUGAGAUACGGCCCAGACUCCUACGGGAGGCAGCAGUGGGGAAUAUUGCACAAUGGGCGGAAGCCUGAUGCAGCAACGCCGCGUGCGGGAUGACGGCCUUCGGGUUGUAAACCGCUUUCGCCUGUGACGAAGCGUGAGUGACGGUAAUGGGUAAAGAAGCACCGGCUAACUACGUGCCAGCAGCCGCGGUGAUACGUAGGGUGCGAGCGUUGUCCGGAUUUAUUGGGCGUAAAGGGCUCGUAGGUGGUUGAUCGCGUCGGAAGUGUAAUCUUGGGGCUUAACCCUGAGCGUGCUUUCGAUACGGGUUGACUUGAGGAAGGUAGGGGAGAAUGGAAUUCCUGGUGGAGCGGUGGAAUGCGCAGAUAUCAGGAGGAACACCAGUGGCGAAGGCGGUUCUCUGGGCCUUUCCUGACGCUGAGGAGCGAAAGCGUGGGGAGCGAACAGGCUUAGAUACCCUGGUAGUCCACGCUGUAAACGGUGGGUACUAGGUGUGGGGUCCAUUCCACGGGUUCCGUGCCGUAGCUAACGCUUUAAGUACCCCGCCUGGGGAGUACGGCCGCAAGGCUAAAACUCAAAGGAAUUGACGGGGCCCCGCACAAGCGGCGGAGCAUGCGGAUUAAUUCGAUGCAACGCGUAGAACCUUACCUGGGUUUGACAUGGAUCGGGAGUGCUCAGAGAUGGGUGUGCCUCUUUUGGGGUCGGUUCACAGGUGGUGCAUGGCUGUCGUCAGCUCGUGUCGUGAGAUGUUGGGUUAAGUCCCGCAACGAGCGCAACCCUUGUUCACUGUUGCCAGCACGUUAUGGUGGGGACUCAGUAGAGACCGCCGGGGUCAACUCGGAGGAAGGUGGGGAUGACGUCAAGUCAUCAUGCCCCUUAUGUCCAGGGCUUCACGCAUGCUACAAUGGCUGGUACAGAGAGUGGCGAGCCUGUGAGGGUGAGCGAAUCUCGGAAAGCCGGUCUCAGUUCGGAUUGGGGUCUGCAACUCGACCUCAUGAAGUCGGAGUCGCUAGUAAUCGCAGAUCAGCAACGCUGCGGUGAAUACAUUCCCGGGGCU